RNAcentral lists this transfer RNA (74 nucleotides) under Camelus bactrianus (Bactrian camel). It matches the Rfam family "tRNA". Rfam says of the family: Transfer RNA (tRNA) molecules are approximately 80 nucleotides in length. Their secondary structure includes four short double-helical elements and three loops (D, anti-codon, and T loops). Further hydrogen bonds mediate the characteristic L-shaped molecular structure. tRNAs have two regions of fundamental functional importance: the anti-codon, which is responsible for specific mRNA codon recognition, and the 3' end, to which the tRNAs corresponding amino acid is attached (by aminoacyl-tRNA synthetases). tRNAs cope with the degeneracy of the genetic code in two manners: having more than one tRNA (with a specific anti-codon) for a particular amino acid; and 'wobble' base-pairing, i.e. permitting non-standard base-pairing at the 3rd anti-codon position. RNAcentral also lists the same sequence under 1 other name. The record is from Rfam by way of RNAcentral. Lineage: Eukaryota; Metazoa; Chordata; Mammalia; Artiodactyla; Camelidae.
GAGGGUAUAGCUCAAGUGGUAGAGCACAUGCUUAGCAUGCACAAGGUUCUUAGGUUCAAUCCCCAGUACCUCCU